UCAAGUGGCGUCCUCCACACACCACAUACUGGUUGUAUCAAUACAACCCGUGCUGGAGGUUAGUUGUAUCAAUACAACCCGUGCUGGAGGUUAGCAGUAUCAAUGCAACCCGUGCUGGAAGUUACUUGUAUCAAUACAACCCGUGCUGAAGGUUAGUUGUACCAAUACAACCCGUGCUGUAGGUUAGUUGUGUCAAUACAAACCGAUAUAGGAUAGUUGUAUCAAUACAUCCCGUGCUGGAGGUUAGUUGUAUCAAUACAGCCCGUGCUGGAGGUUAGAUGUAUCAAUACAACCUGUGCUGGAGGUUAGUUGUAUCAAUACAACCUGUGCUGGAGGUUAGCAGUAUCAAUGCAACCCGUGCUGGAAGUUACUUGUAUCAAUACAACCCGUGCUGAAGGUUAGUUGUAUCAAUACAACCCGUGCUGUAGGUUAGUUGUGUCAAUACAAACCGAUAUAGGAUAGUUGUAUCAAUACAUCCCGUGCUGGAGGUUAGUUGUAUCAAUACAGCCCGUGCUGGAGGUUAGAUGUAUCAAUACAACCCGUGCUGGAGGUUAGAUGUAUUAAUACAACCCGUGCUGGAGGUUAGUUGUAUCAAUACAACACGUACUGGACGUUACAUGUAUUAAUACAACCCGUGCCGAGCUAAGGUGGAACAAUUCAAUCCCGUACUAGAGGUUAGUUGUAACAAUGCAACCCGUGCUGAAGGUUAGCUGUAUCAAUACAACCCGUGCCGGAGGUUAGUUGUAUCAAUUCCACUCUGUGCUAGAAGAUAGUUGUAUCAAUACACCCCGUGGCUGAGGUUUGUUGUAUCAAUAAAACCCGUGCUGGAAGUUACUUGCACCAAUACAACCCGUGCUGGAGGUUAUUUGUAUCAAUACAACUCGUGCUGGAAGUUAGUUGUAUCAAUACAACCCGUGCUGGAGUUUAGCUGUCUCAAUGCAUCCAGUGUAGAUGAGUUUCCAAGUGACUAGCUUGACAUAGAGUACAUUCUAUCCGUGUGAGUGAGGUUAUAGUUUUGAGACUAGAGACUUCGUGUCUUUUAUUUUGUACAUGCUGACAUAUCAAUUUGUAUAUAAUUUUGACAAAUAAAACAACUGAAAACAGA
Molecule: long non-coding RNA, 1105 nt
Organism: Haliotis rubra (blacklip abalone)
Lineage: Eukaryota; Metazoa; Mollusca; Gastropoda; Lepetellida; Haliotidae
Exons: 2
Source: RefSeq, a predicted model, not a curated record